GCCUUCGCGCGGUGGUCCCACCUGACCCCAUGCCGAACUCAGAAGUGAAACGCCGUAGCGCCGAUGGUAGUGUGGGGUCUCCCCAUGCGAGAGUAGGGAACUGCCAGGC
RNAcentral lists this ribosomal RNA (109 nucleotides) under Escherichia coli. Lineage: Bacteria; Pseudomonadati; Pseudomonadota; Gammaproteobacteria; Enterobacterales; Enterobacteriaceae. The record is from RNAcentral.